CCCGUCAAUUCCUUUGAGUUUUAGCCUUGCGGCCGUACUCCCCAGGCGGGGUACUUAAAGCGUUAGCUACGGCGCGGAACCCGUGGAAUGGACCCCACACCUAGUACCCACCGUUUACAGCGUGGACUACCAGGGUAUCUAAGCCUGUUCGCUCCCCACGCUUUCGCUCCUCANCGUCAGGAAAGGCCCAGAGAACCGCCUUCGCCACUGGUGUUCCUCCUGAUAUCUGCGCAUUCCACCGCUCCACCAGGAAUUCCAUUCACCCCUACCUUCCUCAAGUCAACCCGUAUCGAAAGCACGCUCAGGGUUAAGCCCCAAGAUUACACUUCCGACGCGAUCAACCACC
RNAcentral lists this ribosomal RNA (346 nucleotides) under uncultured atmospheric bacterium RM1A-12. RNAcentral describes it as "partial 16S ribosomal RNA". The record is from RNAcentral.